This 870-nucleotide long non-coding RNA is filed under the name Triticum aestivum (bread wheat). RNAcentral describes it as "long non-coding RNA (TAES_LNC003169)". Lineage: Eukaryota; Viridiplantae; Streptophyta; Magnoliopsida; Poales; Poaceae. The record is from RNAcentral.
CAAUCUGUCAUACAUGCAGCUUAACUUUAGUAACAAUUUUCUAAAAUUUUCCAAGCUUCAUGUUUAAAGAGCAAAAACUAUGCAAACAUAUAAAAGCCCGCUAAAAGAACGCAUUGCUUCAUCCAUUAGUUUAGAACAACCCUUGUAAUCUUCACUUGCAAAAUUUCCUGAAAACGAAGAUUCAUUGAAGCGCAUGAGAAAAAGUUUAUAACAAAUCAAAAGAGUCAAGUUAAAUUCAAUGCAUAUAUGGAUACUUAGGCCCUGUACAAUGCAGGUGCUUAGGAAGACGCUUAAAAAAACAAUUUUUUUCAAGAUCCUAGCACAGGUGCUUAAGAGGAGCAAAGUCUUGCUUCCGGUGCUAGUCGGUGCUUGACCUUCCAUAAAGUCAUAGUAAGCCUUGCUCUGGCUUAACUAAAGCAGUUUAAGCACCUAUAGGAAGCACUCACCAUUGCGGGGAAAAAAUAUUUGAAGAUGCCACGCUACUCUCGCUCUUUAACCACCGACCUAUAAGCACCGGCCACUGUACAAGGUCUUAGUGUUAGGACAGUAAGGAUGAAGUACUAAUAGUUAUCAUAAUCAAUAAUGGCAGCAUCAAUGGAAAAUAGAACGAGAAACUAAAAAGCAAUAAAGAAAAAAAUGGUUUAUAUGUUGAGUGGUGUAAGCUCAGCCAAUGAUCUGCAAGAACAUACAGGGGUUCUUAAUGUCUUGCAAACUCAGCUUUGACUUCAGGUAAAACUAGAGUGUAUACAUAAUCAUGAAAAUGUUACUCGAAUAGAGAAAUACCUUUAUAUGAUUUACCAUCACUGUUCUUCAUCGACCGAAGCAUUAUCAUUAGCAUCCACAACUGUUCCCUCAAUAUUGGAUCUUACC